AUGGGCGUGCCAGAGUGGUUAUCGGGCAUGGCUAGAAAUCAUGUGGGCUCUACCCGCGCAGGUUCGAAUCCUGCCGCUCAGG
Non-coding RNA from Cucurbita moschata (crookneck pumpkin), 82 nucleotides. The record is from the annotation of a RefSeq genome assembly. NCBI's taxonomy places the organism in Eukaryota, Viridiplantae, Streptophyta, Magnoliopsida, Cucurbitales, Cucurbitaceae.